Molecule: long non-coding RNA, 858 nt
Organism: Anthonomus grandis grandis
Lineage: Eukaryota; Metazoa; Arthropoda; Insecta; Coleoptera; Curculionidae
Exons: 2
Source: RefSeq, a predicted model, not a curated record
AAAAAGUAGCAAUGCAAAAACCGCAAGGCUCUGCUGUCUCCCAACCCAAUAACCUAACAAAGUGUUCGAAUUUGGAUACCCUGUAAAUACACAUGUCCUAUUAAAUGGAAGGAACGCGAGAUAGCUGGGAUACAUAUCGUGGAGACCGUGUAGGUCAUAUCCUACAGACAAAUUUGGGCAUGGAAAAGCUGCCGACGCGAUGGGUGCCGCGGCUGCUGACGCCAUGAUGGAUUCACUGGUACACAUCAGAAACCCAGGCUCGGUCGAAGCAGUGGACUUCAUGCUCCGAAGACCCACCUAUCGGAUCGAAAGGUUACGACCACCGUUUUCUGGGAUUCACAAGGUGUAAUCUUUAUUAACUACCUGAAGAACGGCAAACCGGCUUCUAUAAAGGUCUACUAUGAUGAAUUAUUGGGCCGACUCGACACAGAAUAGCAGAAAAAACUGCCCCAUUUGGCGAAAAAAAAGUGGUCUGUCACAACAACGCAUGUUCUCACACAUCCGCCAUCGCCAUGGCCAAAUUGAUCGAGGUUAGCAACGAAUUGCUGCCCCACCGUAUUCUAUAGAUCUGCCCAUGCGUCACCUCUUUUUGUUUACAAAUUUGAAAGAUUCCUUCUUAUUCGGAUUAAAAAUGUUAAUCGAAUAAGGAGGUUAUGACCGACCUUCAGAAAAAUUAUUUUUUAGUGGGGUUAAAAAAGUUGGAGCAUCGCUGAAUAAAGUUUAUCGAGCUAAAAGAGGACUAUGUUGAUAAAUAAACCGUCAAUUUCGUAAUCAAUCAAAUUCUGAAAGAUAUACAGGGUACGUCAAGAAGUCUGGGCAGCAGUCAACUUUAUUUUUUUGAAUAGAACAUCUAAUUUA